UCAGCCUACGGGAGGCAGCAGUGGGGAAUAUUGCACAAUGGGCGCAAGCCUGAUGCAGCCAUGCCGCGUGUAUGAAGAAGGCCUUCGGGUUGUAAAGUACUUUCAGCGGGGAGGAAGGGAGUAAAGUUAAUACCUUUGCUCAUUGACGUUACCCGCAGAAGAAGCACCGGCUAACUCCGUGCCAGCAGCCGCGGUAAUCUGA
RNAcentral lists this non-coding RNA (202 nucleotides) under Brucella intermedia 229E. Its description in RNAcentral is "Ochrobactrum intermedium 229E Bacterial small subunit ribosomal RNA". It matches the Rfam family "Bacterial small subunit ribosomal RNA", at positions 331 to 528 of the family's 1533-position model. The record is from Rfam by way of RNAcentral. Lineage: Bacteria; Pseudomonadati; Pseudomonadota; Alphaproteobacteria; Hyphomicrobiales; Brucellaceae.